RNAcentral lists this ribosomal RNA (550 nucleotides) under uncultured bacterium. RNAcentral describes it as "bacterial SSU rRNA". It matches the Rfam family "Bacterial small subunit ribosomal RNA", at positions 355 to 896 of the family's 1533-position model. The record is from RNAcentral.
UAGGGAAUCUUCGGCAAUGGACGGAAGUCUGACCGAGCAACGCCGCGUGAGUGAAGAAGGUUUUCGGAUCGUAAAGCUCUGUUGUAAGAGAAGAACGAGUGUGAGAGUGGAAAGUUCACACUGUGACGGUAUCUUACCAGAAAGGGACGGCUAACUACGUGCCAGCAGCCGCGGUAAUACGUAGGUCCCGAGCGUUGUCCGGAUUUAUUGGGCGUAAAGCGAGCGCAGGCGGUUAGAUAAGUCUGAAGUUAAAAGCUGUGGCUUAACCAUAGUACGCUUUGGAAACUGUUUAACUUGAGUGCAAGAGGGGAGAGUGGAAUUCCAUGUGUAGCGGUGAAAUGCGUAGAUAUAUGGAGGAACACCGGUGGCGAAAGCGGCUCUCUGGCUUGUAACUGACGCUGAGGCUCGAAAGCGUGGGGAGCAAACAGGAUUAGAUACCCUGGUAGUCCACGCCGUAAACGAUGAGUGCUAGGUGUUAGACCCUUUCCGGGGUUUAGUGCCGUAGCUAACGCAUUAAGCACUCCGCCUGGGGAGUACGACCGCAAGGUUG